CUUUUAAUGAGAGUUUGAUCCUGGCUCAGGACGAACGCUGGCGGCGUGCCUAAUACAUGCAAGUAGAACGCUGAAGGAGGAGCUUGCUUCUCUGGAUGAGUUGCGAACGGGUGAGUAACGCGUAGGUAACCUGCCUGGUAGCGGGGGAUAACUAUUGGAAACGAUAGCUAAUACCGCAUAAUAUUGACUAU
This 191-nucleotide ribosomal RNA is filed under the name Streptococcus sp. NLAE-zl-C503. Its description in RNAcentral is "partial 16S rRNA. Bacterial SSU". It matches the Rfam family "Bacterial small subunit ribosomal RNA", at positions 1 to 186 of the family's 1533-position model. Lineage: Bacteria; Bacillati; Bacillota; Bacilli; Lactobacillales; Streptococcaceae. The record is from RNAcentral.